Molecule: ribosomal RNA, 492 nt
Filed under: uncultured bacterium
Lineage: Bacteria
Description: partial 16S ribosomal RNA
Rfam family: Bacterial small subunit ribosomal RNA
Source: RNAcentral
AGUGAACGCUGGCGGUAGGCCUAACACAUGCAAGUCGAACGGCAGCACAGUAAGAGCUUGCUCUUACGGGUGGCGAGUGGCGGACGGGUGAGGAAUACAUCGGAAUCUACUUUUUCGUGGGGGAUAACGUAGGGAAACUUACGCUAAUACCGCAUACGACCUACGGGUGAAAGCAGGGGAUCUCCGGACCUUGCGCGAUUGAAUGAGCCGAUGUCGGAUUAGCUAGUUGGCGGGGUAAAGGCCCACCAAGGCGACGAUCCGUAGCUGGUCUGAGAGGAUGAUCAGCCACACUGGAACUGAGACACGGUCCAGACUCCUACGGGAGGCAGCAGUGGGGAAUAUUGGACAAUGGGCGCAAGCCUGAUCCAGCCAUACCGCGUGGGUGAAGAAGGCCUCCGGGUUGUAAAGCCCUUUUGUUGGGAAAGAAAAGCAGCAGGUUAAUACCCCGCUGUUCUGACGGUACCCAAAGAAUAAGCACCGGCUAACUUCGUG